UAACACAUGCGAGUCGAGCGAUUCUCUUCGGAGAAGAGCGGCGGACGGGUGAGUAACGCGUGGGUAACCUGCCCUGUACACACGGAUAACAUACCGAAAGGUAUGCUAAUACGGGAUAACAUAAGAAAUUCGCAUGUUUUUCUUAUCAAAGCUCCGGCGGUACAGGAUGGACCCGCGUCUGAUUAGCUAGUUGGUGAGGUAACGGCUCACCAAGGCGACGAUCAGUAGCCGACCUGAGAGGGUGAUCGGCCACAUUGGAACUGAGACACGGUCCAAACUCCUACGGGAGGCAGCAGUGGGGAAUAUUGCACAAUGGGCGAAAGCCUGAUGCAGCGACGCCGCGUGAGCGAUGAAGGCCUUCGGGUCGUAAAGCUCUGUCCUCAAGGAAGAUAAUGACGGUACUUGAGGAGGAAGCCCCGGCUAACUACGUGCCAGCAGCCGCGGUAAUACGUAGGGGGCUAGCGUUAUCCGGAUUUACUGGGCGUAAAGGGUGCGUAGGCGGUCUUUUAAGUCAGGAGUGAAAGGCUACGGCUCAACCGUAGUAAGCUCUUGAAACCGGAGGACUUGAGUGCAGGAGAGGAGAGUGGAAUUCCUAGUGUAGCGGUGAAAUGCGUAGAUAUUAGGAGGAACACCAGUAGCGAAGGCGGCUCUCUGGACUGUAACUGACACUGAGGCACGAAAGCGUGGG
This 688-nucleotide ribosomal RNA is filed under the name uncultured Clostridium sp. Its description in RNAcentral is "bacterial SSU rRNA". It matches the Rfam family "Bacterial small subunit ribosomal RNA", at positions 49 to 765 of the family's 1533-position model. The record is from RNAcentral. Lineage: Bacteria; Bacillati; Bacillota; Clostridia; Eubacteriales; Clostridiaceae.